AUGCAAGUCGAGCGGAAACGAUGGAGCUUGCUCCAGGCGUCGAGCGGCGGACGGGUGAGUAAUGCAUAGGAAUCUGCCCGGUAGUGGGGGAUAACCUGGGGAAACCCAGGCUAAUACCGCAUACGUCCUACGGGAGAAAGCAGGGGAUCUUCGGACCUUGCGCUAUCGGAUGAGCCUAUGUCGGAUUAGCUUGUUGGUGAGGUAAUGGCUCACCAAGGCGACGAUCCGUAGCUGGUCUGAGAGGAUGAUCAGCCACAUCGGGACUGAGACACGGCCCGAACUCCUACGGGAGGCAGCAGUGGGGAAUAUUGGACAAUGGGCGAAAGCCUGAUCCAGCCAUGCCGCGUGUGUGAAGAAGGCUUUCGGGUUGUAAAGCACUUUCAGUGAGGAAGAAGGCCUUGGGGCUAAUACCCCCGAGGAAGGACAUCACUCACAGAAGAAGCACCGGCUAACUCCGUGCCAGCAGCCGCGGUAAUACGGAGGGUGCGAGCGUUAAUCGGAAUUACUGGGCGUAAAGCGCGCGUAGGCGGCGUGAUAAGCCGGUUGUGAAAGCCCCGGGCUCAACCUGGGAACGGCAUCCGGAACUGUCAGGCUAGAGUGCAGGAGAGGAAGGUAGAAUUCCCGGUGUAGCGGUGAAAUGCGUAGAGAUCGGGAGGAAUACCAGUGGCGAAGGCGGCCUUCUGGACUGACACUGACGCUGAGGUGCGAAAGCGUGGGUAGCAAACAGGAUUAGAUACCCUGGUAGUCCACGCCGUAAACGAUGUCGACUAGCCGUUGGGGUCCUUGAGACCUUUGUGGCGCAUUUAACGCGAUAAGUCGACCGCCUGGGGAGUACGGCCGCAAGGUUAAAACUCAAAUGAAUUGACGGGGGCCCGCACAAGCGGUGGAGCAUGUGGUUUAAUUCGAUGCAACGCGAAGAACCUUACCUACCCUUGACAUCGUGCGAACUUUCCAGAGAUGGAUUGGUGCCUUCGGGAACGCACAGACAGGUGCUGCAUGGCUGUCGUCAGCUCGUGUUGUGAAAUGUUGGGUUAAGUCCCGUAACGAGCGCAACCCUUGUCCCUAUUUGCCAGCGAUUCGGUCGGGAACUCUAGGGAGACUGCCGGUGACAACCGGAGGAAAGUGGGGACGACGUCAGUCAUCAUGGCCCUUACGG
RNAcentral lists this ribosomal RNA (1156 nucleotides) under Halomonas sp. Its description in RNAcentral is "bacterial SSU rRNA". It matches the Rfam family "Bacterial small subunit ribosomal RNA", at positions 55 to 1207 of the family's 1533-position model. The record is from RNAcentral. Lineage: Bacteria; Pseudomonadati; Pseudomonadota; Gammaproteobacteria; Oceanospirillales; Halomonadaceae.